CGGAGUGGACGCAUCACUGGUGUUCGGGUUGUCAUGCCAAUGGCACUGCCCGGUAGCUAAAUGCGGAAGAGAUAAGUGCUGAAAGCAUCUAAGCACGAAACUUGCCCCGAGAUGAGUUCUCCCUGACUCCUUGAGAGUCCUGAAGGAACGUUGAAGACGACGACGUUGAUAGGCCGGGUGUGUAAGCGCAGCGAUGCGUUGAGCUAACCGGUACUAAUGAACCGUGAGGCUUAACCUUACAACGCCGAAG
RNAcentral lists this ribosomal RNA (250 nucleotides) under Escherichia coli. RNAcentral's name for it is "partial 23S ribosomal RNA". It matches the Rfam family "Bacterial large subunit ribosomal RNA", at positions 2693 to 2925 of the family's 2925-position model. RNAcentral also lists the same sequence under 1 other name. The record is from RNAcentral. Lineage: Bacteria; Pseudomonadati; Pseudomonadota; Gammaproteobacteria; Enterobacterales; Enterobacteriaceae.